This 497-nucleotide long non-coding RNA is filed under the name Papio anubis (olive baboon). RNAcentral's name for it is "lncRNA (ENSPANG00000044912.1)". Lineage: Eukaryota; Metazoa; Chordata; Mammalia; Primates; Cercopithecidae. The record is from RNAcentral.
CCUCAUUGGGAUCGUCUUCAUGUAUUAGAGAAGUUCCACACACAUUGAGCCUCACAAAGGAAGGGGUCUGGGUAUCAGAUUCCCUCUUCGCAGGAAGUGCCUUUGGAAAUUUACUUACUGCCGACUGAGAAGCUCUGCAAGCUGAAAGUGACAGCAGAGAGCGGCGUGGGUGGGAAGGAAACCAGUUCUCCUGCCUGUCUCCUGCUCCCUCACCUUUUCGGCUUUGCACCUGGUGGAGUGUUCCUGGCAGAGUGUUCCGGUAGAGCAGCACCUGGUGACUUUGUUCUCACAAGUCUGCCUGGAGGUGUUGCAUGGGAACAGAGCACACAGUCUGGAGCCUUCGUGUGGGAACUCUGCCACACUGUAACACUUUACACAUCAUUUUGUCCCAACAGCAAUGGAGCCUCUUGUUUCUAGGUUUUCCUUAAGGGGUAGUGCUAAAUAUUUGUAAAAUGAACACAUAAAGAGCCUAGAGUUCAGAGGCCUUAACAGAUGGU